CCCGCGGCUGAAAACGCCCUUGCACUCGUCGCGCUCCGCCGCCAUGUCGGGAAGCACAACCCACCGGUCCGAGGAAACAUCGUAGGCCAGCGCAGACCGCAGCGCGUUCUUCUCAUUGUCGUGUCCGCCGGCGACAAAAACUGUCCCCUCGGAAUCUGACGCGCACGAGAAGAACAUGCGGCGCCCACCCGGCAUGUCCGUCCCGCGGCGCCACUUGGCCGACAAGAAAUUAUAAACAAAAACAGAAUUUGA
This 252-nucleotide long non-coding RNA is filed under the name Glycine max (soybean). Its description in RNAcentral is "long non-coding RNA (GMAX_LNC001754)". The record is from RNAcentral. Lineage: Eukaryota; Viridiplantae; Streptophyta; Magnoliopsida; Fabales; Fabaceae.